AACGAACGCUGGCGGCAUGCCUAACACAUGCAAGUCGAACGAGACCUUCGGGUCUAGUGGCGCACGGGUGCGUAACGCGUGGGAACCUGCCCUUAGGUUCGGAAUAACUCCCCGAAAGGGGUGCUAAUACCGGAUAAUGUCUUCGGACCAAAGAUUUAUCGCCUUUGGAUGGGCCCGCGUUGGAUUAGCUAGUUGGUAGGGUAAAAGCCUACCAAGGCGACGAUCCAUAGCUGGUCUGAGAGGAUGAUCAGCCACACUGGGACUGAGACACGGCCCAGACUCCUACGGGAGGCAGCAGUGGGGAAUAUUGGACAAUGGGCGAAAGCCUGAUCCAGCAAUGCCGCGUGAGUGAUGAAGGCCUUAGGGUUGUAAAGCUCUUUUACUCGGGAUGAUAAUGACAGUACCGGGACAAUAAGCUCCGGCUAACUCCGUG
Molecule: ribosomal RNA, 433 nt
Filed under: uncultured bacterium
Lineage: Bacteria
Description: partial 16S ribosomal RNA
Rfam family: Bacterial small subunit ribosomal RNA
Source: RNAcentral